GCAUCCAUAGUUGAAUGGUUAAAGUGUUCAAUUCAUAAUUAGAGAAUUCGUAAGUUCAAUUUUUAUUUGGAUGUA
Ilex paraguariensis (yerba mate) is the source of this 75-nucleotide non-coding RNA. NCBI's taxonomy places the organism in Eukaryota, Viridiplantae, Streptophyta, Magnoliopsida, Aquifoliales, Aquifoliaceae. The record is from the annotation of a GenBank genome assembly.